UUUGGUGCCUACAGGAGUUAUAAUGAAACCAUUAAUGUAAGGGAAUAGUGCUAUAAUAGUAAACCCUUAUAUAUAUAUGGCUACAGACAUAACAUUAACAAAAACACAAACAUGUAUAUGUUAUUAUAGAUUUUGCUUAGCUAAAAACAUAAUAGUAUGCUUAUAAAUAAAUCAAUCAUAUAUUAAUUAAAAAUAAUUUUAAAAUGUUCCCAACAUAUUAUUUAAUACUUUUAGGGAUGAAUUAUUUAUCAUGAGGUAAGCCCCUAACUCCAGAUACAGAAAUGGAGUGAAAGCUACAAGUUUGACGCUCUUGAAUGUAGCUGCUUUCAACGCACAAGUGUAAUUUAUUUUCAGAAAAGAUACUGAAGUGUAUAGCUAUCUAUCUAUCUAUCUAUCUAUCUAUCUAUCUAUCUAUCUAUGUAGCGAGAGAGAGAGAGAGAGCGCUAUUACCACAGCAAGUAAAGCAAGGAAAGUGGAAUGUAACUAUAUAUGUAACUAUAGAAAUGACGGGAAAGGUAAGUAUUUAUCCCCUUUCUCUUGCUACCGAAGGCAAACUGUAGCGCAUGCGCAUUAAUAACAUACAGCGCCACCUAUAGUUCCUGUUACGUGUUGAAGGGAGGCAAUAGAGACGGAAGCCACUACUGGGGCCAUAGCACGUGCGGAGGAAACUUUUUUGUUUUUGCAAAGGAAACAUUGUCCCCAGUACAGUACUUUUAUAUUUCAUGUUACAUGUUACUACAUCAUUUGUAUUAGUACUUUUCUGGAUUACCUGCUGUUUUGAUAUUAAUAUUAGAGAAAGGAAAUUUAAUAUCCUUGUGAGGAUCAUUUUAAGUAUUUAUUUUUGCUGCAUCACUGUUAAAGUUUUUUUGGGGGGAAGGAGUAGCUUCCCAUUUAGUAAAGCAGCAAUAUUUUCAUAAUUACUGCUGCAAAAAUGCCAAGACAAUGGUGUCUGUGGACUGAUGAAGAGGUGAACCUUCUUUUCCAAUUAAUGGAACAAACUGAUGGCCUGGAAGUUAUAAUGGGGUCAUCUUCUUUGCCCAAUAGGGCUAUUUAUAGAAGAAUUUCCAAGAAGAUGUGCAGUAGGGGAUAUAAUAAAACUACUACUCAGGUAUCUUCAAAAGUAAAGGUAAUGAGAACAAGUUUCUACAGGGCAAUGGCCCUACAUGGAGAAUCUCCUGAAGAACACCAAAAACCUUCUUACUUUGAAGAAAUGUGGCAUCUGUGGAUGAUGGCCGGAGCCCCAUCACAAGACCUUUUUGCAGUAGCAGCUCGCCGUGGGAGACGCGCAAGAAGACCCAUGCAAGGGUUUCCAUGCCAGCAACAUGUCAGUCCUCCUCAUCCGCAGGAAGGUGAGGUUGAAGAAGAUGAACCUGCUGACUGCUCUGUGUCUGCAUCAAGUAAUCCCAGGUUCCCAUUGGCCCUCGUUCCAUAUUCUGGGGAGUCGGAUUCUUCCCUUACUGGCCAAACAGCUUUAUCACCAGAACAUGUACCAGAGCCAUCAUUAUCUUCAUCUGAUGCAGCAGCACCAUCACCAGUAUCACUGGAUAUAUUCCCAGAAGGUCCAGGUACAGCUGGUGCUGCACAUCAUCGUAUUCCCUUGGAUGACCGUGUUGCCCGACUGGAGGAACAUUUACAUUCUUUAGAUGCUCGUGUAUCACAGCUAGAGGUCGAGAAAAGACAGCAGGAGGCCAAGAACAUACAGCUUGAGGCCGAGAAUAGACAGCUGAAGGAAGAUCUGAAGGGAGCAGACAGGCGUUUGGAUGCCAUGGCAGGAACCAUCACGCGGGCCCACUUACGCAUGGACUAUCAAAGCAUGUGGCUUAAUUAUUUUAUAAUGUGGCGUGAUCCUCCGCGUGUUCCACCUCCUCUUGGUUUUCCUCCGGACUCUCCACCACACCACUGUAACGAGGAUGAGAGCGCAACACAACCAGAGUAAUUUCUCCCCAAUUACAGAGCAUAAUAAUUAUGAUAAUGUUUCCUUUCUUUUUAAAGUUAUGCUGUGAAGCAACAGCAAAAUCAUCGUACAUAGCUGUCUAACCUAAGGAAAAGGAGCCGGGUCAAUCUUCCUUCCCUUUGCCUCCAUUAAAAUUAUGAGCCUUUAAGCUGCGAAAUGCGGCCCCCGGAAGUGCCGGUUGCUCCGGAAGUGAAUGGGGGAAUUCUUCAGCGCUGCAUCAUAGGAAAUAGAGACCCGGUAAAUUUGCAGCGUGAAACCUGACCAGUUAGAAUUUUGCAUUCCAUACGAGGACAAAGUGCCAUGGAAUAGAAAUGAACAUCAAUGCGAAUUCUCUGAGUGCACUUUCCAACCGACUUUAAAAUAUUGAGGGGUCACUACGGAAGUGUUUCUCAAGCUUUCCUGAAGCAGGUCUGUACAA
Molecule: RNA transcript, 2372 nt
Organism: Sceloporus undulatus (fence lizard)
Lineage: Eukaryota; Metazoa; Chordata; Lepidosauria; Squamata; Phrynosomatidae
Exons: 5
Source: RefSeq, a predicted model, not a curated record